Molecule: unclassified non-coding RNA, 310 nt
Filed under: plant metagenome
Description: partial contains 5.8S ribosomal RNA, internal transcribed spacer 2, and large subunit ribosomal RNA
Rfam family: 5.8S ribosomal RNA (bases 1-105)
Source: RNAcentral
GAAAUGCGAUAAGUAGUGUGAAUUGCAGAAUUCAGUGAAUCAUCGAAUCUUUGAACGCACAUUGCGCCCCUUGGUAUUCCAUGGGGCAUGCCUGUUCGAUCGUCAUUUGUACCCUCAAGCUCUGCUUGGUGUUGGGUGUUUGUCCCCGUCUCCGCGCGUGGACUCGCCCCAAAGUGAUUGGCAGCCGGCGUACUGGUCCCGGAGCGCAGCACAUGUCGCGCAAACGAGUGCCUUGGUACGGCGGCGUCCAUAAGCCCCUCUCUCACGCUCUUGACCUCGGAUCAGGUAGGGAUACCCGCUGAACUUAAGC